This 406-nucleotide ribosomal RNA is filed under the name uncultured bacterium. RNAcentral describes it as "partial 16S ribosomal RNA". It matches the Rfam family "Bacterial small subunit ribosomal RNA", at positions 30 to 526 of the family's 1533-position model. The record is from RNAcentral.
AUUGAACGCUGGCGGCAGGCUUUACACAUGCAAGUCGAACGAGUGGCGAACGGGUGAGUAUUAUAUCGGAACGUACCGAGUAAUGGGGGAAAACCAAUCGAAAGAUAGGCUAAUACCGCAUAUUAUUCGAGCGGCCGAUAACUGAUUAGCUAGGUGGGGGGGUAAAGGCCUACCAAGGCGACGAUCAGUAGCGGGUCUGAGAGGACGAUCCGCCACACUGUGACUGAGACACGGCCCAGAAUCCUACGGUAGGCAGCAGGGGGGAAUGUUGGACUAUGGGUGCAAACCUGAUCCAGCCAUGCCGCGUGUAUGAAGAAGGCCUUCGGGUUGUAAAGUACUUUUGUUAGGGAGGCGUUACCUAAAGAAGAAGCACCGGCUAACUACGUGCCAGCCGCCGCGGUAAUUC